Molecule: ribosomal RNA, 751 nt
Filed under: Streptomyces sp.
Lineage: Bacteria; Bacillati; Actinomycetota; Actinomycetes; Kitasatosporales; Streptomycetaceae
Description: bacterial SSU rRNA
Rfam family: Bacterial small subunit ribosomal RNA
Source: RNAcentral
CGGGUGAGUAACACGUGGGCAAUCUGCCCUUCACUCUGGGACAAGCCCUGGAAACGGGGUCUAAUACCGGAUAACACUUCUGCUCUCAUGGGCAGGGGUUAAAAGCUCCGGCGGUGAAGGAUGAGCCCGCGGCCUAUCAGCUUGUUGGUGAGGUAAUGGCUCACCAAGGCGACGACGGGUAGCCGGCCUGAGAGGGCGACCGGCCACACUGGGACUGAGACACGGCCCAGACUCCUACGGGAGGCAGCAGUGGGGAAUAUUGCACAAUGGGCGAAAGCCUGAUGCAGCGACGCCGCGUGAGGGAUGACGGCCUUCGGGUUGUAAACCUCUUUCAGCAGGGAAGAAGCGAAAGUGACGGUACCUGCAGAAGAAGCGCCGGCUAACUACGUGCCAGCAGCCGCGGUAAUACGUAGGGCGCAAGCGUUGUCCGGAAUUAUUGGGCGUAAAGAGCUCGUAGGCGGCUUGUCACGUCGGGUGUGAAAGCCCGGGGCUUAACCCCGGGUCUGCAUUCGAUACGGGCUAGCUAGAGUGUGGUAGGGGAGAUCGGAAUUCCUGGUGUAGCGGUGAAAUGCGCAGAUAUCAGGAGGAACACCGGUGGCGAAGGCGGAUCUCUGGGCCAUUACUGACGCUGAGGAGCGAAAGCGUGGGGAGCGAACAGGAUUAGAUACCCUGGUAGUCCACGCCGUAAACGGUGGGAACUAGGUGUUGGCGACAUUCCACGUCGUCGGUGCCGCAGCUAACGCAUUAAGUU